GAUGAACGCUGGCGGCGUGCCUAAUACAUGCAAGUCGAGCGAACAGAUGAGGAGCUUGCUCCUCUGACGUUAGCGGCGGACGGGUGAGUAACACGUGGAUAACCUACCUUUAAGACUGGGAUAACUUCGGGAAACCGGAGCUAAUACCGGAUAAUAUUUUAAACCGCAUGGUUCAAAAGUGAAAGACGGUCUUGCUGUCACUUAUAGAUGGAUCCGCGCGGCAUUAGCUAGUUGGUAAGGUAACGGCUUACCAAGGCAACGAUGCGUAGCCGACCUGAGAGGGUGAUCGGCCACACUGGAACUGAGACACGGUCCAGACUCCUACGGGAGGCAGCAGUAGGGAAUCUUCCGCAAUGGGCGAAAGCCUGACGGAGCAACGCCGCGUGAGUGAUGAAGGUCUUCGGAUCGUAAAACUCUGUUAUUAGGGAAGAACAAAUGUGUAAGUAACUGUGCACGUCUUGACGGUACCUAAUCAGAAAGCCACGGCUAACUACGUG
RNAcentral lists this ribosomal RNA (497 nucleotides) under uncultured bacterium. RNAcentral's name for it is "partial 16S ribosomal RNA". It matches the Rfam family "Bacterial small subunit ribosomal RNA", at positions 28 to 507 of the family's 1533-position model. The record is from RNAcentral.